AUUGAUGUGCCCUCAUCCCACACCUUUCUUUAGGUCAGGCAACUCUAAUCUUCUUCUGAACUUUUUCCUUGCAGGAGUUGGCCAACUAUGUCCUAUGGGUCAAAUCUGGCUUAUAGUCUGUUUAAACUAAGAAUGUUUUUUACGGGGUGCCUGGGUGGCUUAGUUGCUUCAGUGUCUGACUUUGGCUCAUGUCAUGAUCUCAUGGUUUGUGAAUUCGAGCCCCGCAUCGGGGUCUGUGCUGACAGGUCAGAGCCUGGAGCCUGCUUUGGAUUCUGUGUGUCCCUCUCUCUGUCCCUCCCCUGCUCAUGCUCUGUCUCUCUCUCUCUCUUUCAAAAAUAAUUAAACGUUAAGAAAAAGAAUGUUUUUUACAUUUUUAAAUUAUUUUUUAAAAAGUUUAAAAAAUGAAAGAGAAUAUAUGAUGGAGAAGAAUAUGUGGCCCACAAAGGCCUAAAAAUAUUUACUUUCUGGGGGUGCCUGGGUGGCUCAGUCGGUUGAGCGUCCGACUUCGGCUCAGGUCAUGAUCUCACGGCUCGUGAGUUCAAGCCCCACAUUGGGCUCUGUCUGGGCUGACAGCUCGGAGCCUGGAGCCUGCUUCAGAUUCUGUGUCUCCCACUCUCUCUGUCUCUCCGCUGCUCAUACUCUGUCUCUCUCUCUCAAAAGUAAAAUAAAAAAUAAAAAAAAAAUAUUUACUAUCUGGCCCUUUACAGAGAGAAGUUUGCUGACCCCUUUUCUAGAAGUUGGCUCAAAUCCGCUAAUAGCAUCUACAGAAGAAAAAUCAUUGUGGUCCAGGUAAAGAUUAUUACCAAGAGAAGUUAUAUGAGUAGAGAAAGUAAAGUUUUCAUUUAGGAAAACAGGUUUGGCCAUAAAUUGAUAAUCACUGAAGCUGGUUAUGGAUACUUGUGGGUUCCUUAUUUGUAUGCCAUCUAAUUUUGUUUUUGGAAAACUCCAUAAUAAAAGUUUUUGAAG
This 966-nucleotide long non-coding RNA is filed under the name Felis catus (domestic cat). RNAcentral's name for it is "lncRNA (ENSFCAG00000041559.2)". The stretch from base 473 to 557 matches the Rfam family "tRNA". Lineage: Eukaryota; Metazoa; Chordata; Mammalia; Carnivora; Felidae. The record is from RNAcentral.